RNAcentral lists this small RNA (369 nucleotides) under Lachnospiraceae bacterium. Its description in RNAcentral is "transfer-messenger RNA". It matches the Rfam family "transfer-messenger RNA". From Rfam's summary of the family: Bacterial tmRNA, also known as 10Sa RNA or SsrA, is named for its dual tRNA and mRNA-like properties. Its role is to liberate the mRNA from a stalled ribosome. The record is from RNAcentral. Lineage: Bacteria; Bacillati; Bacillota; Clostridia; Lachnospirales; Lachnospiraceae.
GGGAUAGUCAAGGUUUCGACAGGGAUUUUGCAGCUGGAGAAGCUAUCCGUUCCCCUUGCCUUGCAAGGGGUGGCGAUACGUUAAUCGCAAACACUAAACACAAACGCUGAAGAUAAUUUAGCAUACGCUGCUUAAAGCAGCCGUCCGCCCCGAUGCACCUGCACGUCGGGAAUCGGGCGUCGCCUAUGUAGGAAACGACACAGGUUAAGCUUUGCCCCUGUGGGCGUAUAAUGAAGCUACCGAACUGACAAGGGUGUCACUUUCCCGGUCAGCGGGGGAAUCCGGGUUCGCCCACAACAAGUGACUAUGAUAGUAGAAGGACAGGGAAUGAGUUCUUGGACGCGGGUUCGAUUCCCGCCUAUUCCAGCA